GAUGAACGCUGACAGAAUGCUUAACACAUGCAAGUCCACUUGAACUUCGGUUUGGGUGGCGGACGGGUGAGUAACGCGUAAAGAACUUGCCUCACAGCUAGGGGCAACAUUUGGAAACGAAUGCUAAUACCUGAUAUUAUGAUUAUAUGGCAUCGUAUAAUUAUGAAAGCUAUAUGCGCUGUGAGAGAGCUUUGCGUCCCAUUAGCUAGUUGGAGAGGUAACAGCUCACCAAGGCGAUGAUGGGUAGCCGGCCUGAGAGGGUGAUCGGCCACAAGGGGACUGAGACACGGCCCUUACUCCUACGGGAGGCAGCAGUGGGGAAUAUUGGACAAUGGACCGAGAGUCUGAUCCAGCAAUUCUGUGUGCACGAUGAAGUUUUUCGGAAUGUAAAGUGCUUUCAGUUGGGAAGAAAAAAAUGACGGUACCAACAGAAGAAGUGACGGCUAAAUACGUG
This 454-nucleotide ribosomal RNA is filed under the name uncultured bacterium. Its description in RNAcentral is "partial 16S ribosomal RNA". It matches the Rfam family "Bacterial small subunit ribosomal RNA", at positions 28 to 507 of the family's 1533-position model. The record is from RNAcentral.